RNAcentral lists this long non-coding RNA (426 nucleotides) under Neodiprion lecontei (redheaded pine sawfly). RNAcentral's name for it is "uncharacterized LOC124294731". The record is from RNAcentral. Lineage: Eukaryota; Metazoa; Arthropoda; Insecta; Hymenoptera; Diprionidae.
CCGUUUUCUCCACAACGAGUUGUUUAACGAGUGAAGUUAUCAAUAUUGAAGAGUUUUUUCCCUCGAAUAUUCAUAAUAGUUUGAACGGUUAAGAUUUAAAUGCAAUACGAGGUAGAAAUGGUAGAUUAACAUGUACACGAUAACUCGAACUGUAAUAGAUGAAUCGAUUUGAAGUUUGGUACUCGUAUUAAUAAAAAUACAGCGUAUUCUCGAGCAGAAAACGGCAAAAAAUAUUCACGAUUUUUUUUCGUCAUCAAACGAGAAGAGAGGUUACAAUCCAGCCGCAUAUUUCUGAAGUAAUGCGAUCGCACGGUAUAGCGCAAUUCUUCACCGAAAAUAAUGCCAAGUAUCUUAAAUAAAACGAGGGGAUACUAAUCGACCUGUUAAUCUGAGCAAUAAAGAAUGUGCAAUGAAUCAAUGACUUAG